AAAAUGAAACUGCGAAUGGCUCAUUAAAUCAGCUACGGUUCCUUUGAUAAGCACAGUUACUUGGAUAACUGUGGUAAUUCUAGAGCUAAUACAUGCAACAAUGCCCAACCUUUGCGGGAAGGGUGCACUUAUUAGAUCAAAACCAACCUGGCUUCGGCUGGAAGUUUUGAUGACUCUGGAUAAUUGUUUCGAUCGCACGGCCUAAGCGUCGGCGACGUUUCUUUCAAAUGUCUGCCCUAUCAACUAUAGAUGGUAGGCAAAUUGUCUACCAUGGUUAUAACGGGUAACGGGGAAUCAGGGUUCGAUUCCGGAGAGGGAGCCUGAGAAACAGCUACCACAUCCAAGGAAGGCAGCAGGCGCGCAAAUUACCCACUCUCAAAACGAGGAGGUAGUGACAAAAAAUAACGAUGCGGGACUCAAUCGAGGCCCCGUAAUCGGAAUGAGUACACUUUAAAUCCUUUAACGAGGAUCAAUUGGAGGGCAAGUCUGGUGCCAGCAGCCGCGGUAAUUCCAGCUCCAAUAGCGUAUAU
RNAcentral lists this ribosomal RNA (530 nucleotides) under Minona gemella. RNAcentral's name for it is "SSU rRNA". It matches the Rfam family "Eukaryotic small subunit ribosomal RNA", at positions 78 to 604 of the family's 1831-position model. The record is from RNAcentral. Lineage: Eukaryota; Metazoa; Platyhelminthes; Proseriata; Monocelididae.